This 75-nucleotide transfer RNA is filed under the name Sphingomonas sp. RNAcentral describes it as "tRNA-Val". It matches the Rfam family "tRNA". From Rfam's summary of the family: Transfer RNA (tRNA) molecules are approximately 80 nucleotides in length. Their secondary structure includes four short double-helical elements and three loops (D, anti-codon, and T loops). The record is from RNAcentral. RNAcentral also lists the same sequence under 15 other names. Lineage: Bacteria; Pseudomonadati; Pseudomonadota; Alphaproteobacteria; Sphingomonadales; Sphingomonadaceae.
GGGCGCAUAGCUCAGCGGUAGAGCACACCCUUCACACGGGUGGGGUCGCAGGUUCAAUCCCUGCUGCGCCCACCA